RNAcentral lists this ribosomal RNA (401 nucleotides) under Brevundimonas sp. BAS209i. RNAcentral describes it as "bacterial SSU rRNA". It matches the Rfam family "Bacterial small subunit ribosomal RNA", at positions 25 to 454 of the family's 1533-position model. The record is from RNAcentral. Lineage: Bacteria; Pseudomonadati; Pseudomonadota; Alphaproteobacteria; Caulobacterales; Caulobacteraceae.
CAGAGCGAACGCUGGCGGCAGGCCUAACACAUGCAAGUCGAACGAACUCUUCGGAGUUAGUGGCGGACGGGUGAGUAACACGUGGGAACGUGCCUUUAGGUUCGGAAUAACUCAGGGAAACUUGUGCUAAUACCGAAUGUGCCCUUCGGGGGAAAGAUUUAUCGCCUUUAGAGCGGCCCGCGUCUGAUUAGCUAGUUGGUGAGGUAAAGGCUCACCAAGGCGACGAUCAGUAGCUGGUCUGAGAGGAUGAUCAGCCACAUUGGGACUGAGACACGGCCCAAACUCCUACGGGAGGCAGCAGUGGGGAAUCUUGCGCAAUGGGCGAAAGCCUGACGCAGCCAUGCCGCGUGAAUGAUGAAGGUCUUAGGAUUGUAAAAUUCUUUCAGUAGGGACGAUAAUGA